AUUGCCUAUAAUUUCCACCCGUUGUCUAUCCCAUUUGCACAACAGCAUGUGAAAUUGAUUGUCACUCAGUGUUGCUAACUAAAUGGACAGUUUGAUUUCACAGAAGUGUGAUUGACUUGGAGUUACAUUGUGUUGUUUAAGUGUUCCCUUUAUUUUUUUGAGCAGUGUAUAUAAAUAUUGGUCCCUGGGGAAGUUUCUAUGGAAACGAAAAUGCGUCGAACCGCUGAUCUAUCAUUGCUUUUAUAUAUUUUUUUUAAUCGAUUUGAGGCUUCAAAUAAACCCGUUUAUACCUACCAACCUGGUUCCUUAUUCUGAUCCGGAGUGCUAUUACCAGACAGAGGAUCCUGAACCCCCUCACAAUGGAAGGCAACUUCAAGGCGCUGUAUCAUUCCAUACUGAGUAGGGGCACUGUUUAUACUUACAUACAG
This is a non-coding RNA of Pelobates cultripes (western spadefoot toad), 428 nucleotides long. The record is from the annotation of a GenBank genome assembly. Lineage: Eukaryota; Metazoa; Chordata; Amphibia; Anura; Pelobatidae.